AGUGAACGCUGGCGGUAGGCCUAACACAUGCAAGUCGAACGGCAGCACAGUAAGCGCUUUCUCUUACGGGUGGCGAGUGGCGGACGGGUGAGGAAUACAUCGGAAUCUACUUUUUCGUGGGGGAUAACGUAGGGAAACUUACGCUAAUACCGCAUACGACCUACGGGUGAAAGCAGGGGAUCUUCGGACCUUGCGCGUUUGAAUGAGCCGAUGUCGGAUUAGCUAGUUGGCGGGGUAACGGCCCACCAAGGCGACGAUCCGUAGCUGGUCUGAGAGGAUGAUCAGCCACACUGGAACUGAGACACGGUCCAGACUCCUACGGGAGGCAGCAGUGGGGAAUAUUGGGCAAUGGGCGAAAGCCUGACGCAGCCAUGCCGCGUGAGUGAUGAAGGUCUUCGGGUCGUAAAGCUCUUUUGUUGGGAAAGAAAAGAAGUAUGUGAAUAUCCGCCUGUUCUGACGGUACCCAAAGAAUAAGCAACGGCUAACUUCGUG
RNAcentral lists this ribosomal RNA (492 nucleotides) under uncultured bacterium. RNAcentral describes it as "partial 16S ribosomal RNA". It matches the Rfam family "Bacterial small subunit ribosomal RNA", at positions 29 to 507 of the family's 1533-position model. The record is from RNAcentral.